UAAUCCUACCUCCACGCCUGUCUGCAGUAGUUUGUAUGUAAGGGGAAGCAAGCCAAUGGUGGUGUCUUGCCGCCGGCAUUCCUGCAUCCUCUCUGCUAUCCAACAAAGACACAGAAAGAAGUCAUGGCCUCCUCCAUUAUUCUCUCGUCCUUGUUUCUCCCGAGUCAAUUCAGCAACUCGAGUCGAGUUCAUUUCAAACCGUACUGUCCCCCGACCUGUGAACGCACUAGUUUCGCGACAAAAAUUCGCGCUUCUUCCACCGCCUUUGCCGAGACUAAGCCAACGGGUCCCGUGACAGUUGAAAAGGAUGUCUGUAGCAGCAAGAACAUCCUAGCCUGUCCCGUAUCUUACGAGCCCGUGACUUUGAUUGGCGCAACCGUCCUAUCUGUAGAUUCUGCACGUGGAUCUAGUUUGCAGUGAAGCACUUGUAAGAAGACAUGCUCUGGCAAGGAAACACAUCUUGAAUUGACGGUAGCUAGUGGGUCUAAGGAAUAUGGUGAUGCUAUGCCUUUGGCCAUUGAAUUUUUCAAGUGUGAAUAAAAUAGUUGUUGCGAUAUUCAUGAGUAAGAUAGUGCUUGAGGAAAUGGUGCUUGUUGCAAAUUUGGGACCUGGAUAAUGUUCAUACAUUUUCGCACUAAGACCAUUGCAGAGUACUAGUAAGAAGAUUUGUGUCCAUCCUGAGGCAAUUCAAAUACAGGAUAGGGUCAAUUAUCAAUUGUAGUUAUUAAUUUUUAUUAGAUAGAUUCCGGACCUAUCAUGCUUUACAAUGAUGUUUUUCAUUUCCAAAACUAGAAAUUGCCUCCAAGAUGACAAGCUAGUCUUUUUAAACCAUCUAUUUUGUCAUGCUAGCGAAAGGUCAAAUUUCUUGCCGCUAAACUUUCAGCCUGGUAUUUUUUGGAUUCUAUUGCAUGCUCUAGAUGGCGGUGCCCCAAUUCUGUCAUUGUAAAUUCCAUUUUGAAGGGAUUGGUGUCUGUUGAUUCCCACAACCAAUCUGGGCUUCGUUAAUCUUGGCUAAAUCCAUUUACAGCCCCAGACAACCUAUUCUGGAAUUUCUUUGGGGAAAUUGCAUCUGUUGCCUAGAUACAGCAGGAAAUUUUAUAGGACUGACUUGGUUUCCAUGCAUUGAAUAAAUACAAAUUUCAAUAGGAAUAUAUAAUCAUCAGCCUGAUGCAUUUCAUGCUAUCCCGCAUGAUCAGUAUGAGUGCUUCUCAUUAAAAUCUUGGUCACGCCCUCCUUGUCUUGUUUUUCUGAAUCAGAACUCCAUUCAUGUCAUUCCUUUACGAGAGAGAGAGGUUGGCAUCAAAAUUUUGUAUGGGAUGGUUUUCCAGGCCCAGAGAAAGAGUUUGAAUUGAUGAAGGAUUACCUCAAGCCAGUUUUAGGUGGUAAUAUUCUAGAUGCUAGUUGUGGUAGUGGUUUAUUUUCAAGACUAUUCACCAAGAGUGGGUUGUUUUCUCUUGUCAUGGCUCUGGAUUACUCAGAAAACAUGCUGCAACAGUGCUAUGAUUCAUCAAGAGAGUAGCUUAAGUAAGUUGAGUUUUGAGGCCUGGAGGAGUGUUCGUUGCCACCACCUACAUACUUGAUGGGCAUUUCAGUCUCAUCUGAUUUUUGAAGCCUAUAAGCCAGAGAUUCACACAAGUGUCAGGCAGCAACAUCUUCUUAUCUGAACGUGAACUAGAAGACGUCUGUAGAGCCUGUGAACUAGUUGAUUUUACAUGUACAAGAAAUGAGCGGUUUGUGAUGUUUUCUACAACAAAACCCAGCUAAGCUUCCCAUGCUGCUUUAAUCCUUCCUCUCAAAUUAUGUUAAUACCUGUUUGAUUGUUUUGUAUCUCCUAUAUACCUAGGUGAUAUAUUUUGUAUUGACAAGGUGCAUGAAGACCACGUUAUUGAUUAUAUAUCAUUAUAGAAUGCUAUUAA
This is a long non-coding RNA of Populus euphratica (Euphrates poplar), 1916 nucleotides long. RefSeq lists it as uncharacterized. The record is from RefSeq and is a predicted model, not a curated record. The transcript is spliced from 6 exons. Lineage: Eukaryota; Viridiplantae; Streptophyta; Magnoliopsida; Malpighiales; Salicaceae.